RNAcentral lists this non-coding RNA (48 nucleotides) under Saccharomonospora saliphila YIM 90502. RNAcentral describes it as "L31-Actinobacteria ribosomal protein leader". It matches the Rfam family "L31-Actinobacteria ribosomal protein leader". Lineage: Bacteria; Bacillati; Actinomycetota; Actinomycetes; Pseudonocardiales; Pseudonocardiaceae. The record is from RNAcentral.
CCGGCUCCGGUUCACCUCGUGACACGGCGUCACGGGGAUCCGGCGGCC